CUCGCCUCACGUCACGUGGUACACUUUCGGGUUUCGCGGAGCCAGGAUAAAAAGUCUUUACUAUAGCAGUGGGACAGGUGGCUUUUAAAAAUUGCACCAUCUGAAGCACUUCUACAGCAGGAGAAACUCUGCCACGCUAAGCCUAACGGCUUCGGAUGUGUGAUCUUGCGAAAGGUUUAAGCCUUGGGUAAGGUCAGCCCUCGGUGCACGUUACCCUGGACACCCUGUGUUUUGAAGGCACUGCGUAGCAGCAACGCAAAUAUUUGCUGCCUAUAUCUACAGUUAAGUGACCUUGGAGAAAUCAACGUUCUUUUCACGACCAUUUUAGACCAUUGACCAGGUACAGCUUAGAUGGCGUUGAUUCAGCGCUAGAAUCCAACAUUCAACGUUGUUCAACACAAGCCUGCUCGAUGCCGCACCUGCCUUUCUCACGACGUUGACCACAGGGGCAGAGAUGAGGAACGUACGCGACAAAGGGAACUCGCUACCAGUUAUGUUGCUGUGCCAGAAAUGUAACUAAGUUACUAACCAAGUUACACGUAUUGAAAAUAAACUUCAGGUUCGUAAGCUACUUUAGAAAAGUAAGGGGUUACUUUCAACUUACUUGAUGGGAAUGCAUGUGCUGAGACUGGAACACAAAGAAAGGAGAUGAGCUGAAGUGAUGUCGUUUCUGUGCCCGAGAAAUGCAUAGUUUGUCUUCGCCUUCAUUGCACAUAAAAAUUUGGCGAUUUCUGCAUCAAAGCACGCGCUUGUUUCAUGAUUUUUAAGAAUGCACAGCAGCUCUAGGUGCAUUUUCAAUGGCAAUUGGUUUCAAUGGUCAUGGAAAGCAACGGCCAUUGAAUAUACGGGUAGCAGAACCAAGCGUGUAACACGUUAACUGUUCAGUGUGAAUUGGAUCAUCUGCUUUUUGAAAAGUUUACGCUAUGCACGCACAGUAACGUUGCGUAUAUUUUCAAUGACCAUUGGCUUCGAUGGUGAUUGAAAGCAACGGCCAUUGAACAGAUGCGUAGCGCCACCAAGUGUGUAACAUGUUAAUUUUUCACUGUGGAAAAGUGAACGGAUUGAAAUACUGAUUGCGUUCAACACCGUAGCCUCGGAUUUUCGGGAAAACAUCUAAUUUCUGACAUUCUCUAAUUUGUUACAUCUAAUUUGAUAGGUUUAUUAAUACGUUUUGGGUAAUGAGUAGUCCAGUAGAUUUAUGCUAUUUCCCACUGGAUGUCCGCGUGGGAAAAACGU
Long non-coding RNA from Ornithodoros turicata, 1236 nucleotides. RefSeq lists it as uncharacterized. The record is from RefSeq and is a predicted model, not a curated record. The transcript has 3 exons. NCBI's taxonomy places the organism in Eukaryota, Metazoa, Arthropoda, Arachnida, Ixodida, Argasidae.